Myotis davidii is the source of this 305-nucleotide long non-coding RNA. RefSeq lists it as uncharacterized. The record is from RefSeq and is a predicted model, not a curated record. NCBI's taxonomy places the organism in Eukaryota, Metazoa, Chordata, Mammalia, Chiroptera, Vespertilionidae. The transcript is spliced from 3 exons.
AUGCAAAAAUGCAGGCUGGCCCAGCACAUACUGGUUAUUGGUACUCCAGGGAGAACAGGAGACGUUAAAUAGAGGAUAUCUUUGUUGUGCUGCUUUCUGCCUGAUGCCAGUCGAUCUGUUGCAAGUCAUCAGUUCAUGAGAUCCAUUUCAAAUUCUGGUGAAGAAGGAAGAAUUGACCCUUGAAAGGUUCAACAUUUUAUAAUAAUUUUGAAGGAGGGAAGCCUGUCCGCAGGACAAUGGCCCCAGUGUGCUCCUCCCUGAUGCCAGCAGGCCCCAGAGCUGACACUGAGGCAUUCACUCCCCCA